UGAUCCGCUCCACUACAUUCUCAACUCUACACAUAGACAUGUCGUAUACCCGCUGCGGCGAUGAAUCAUGUCACUUCAUGCGGUCCCUCCAUGAUCAACCAAGAAACUAUGCAGCGGUUUACAGGUUUUCAAUCUGUUAUGUUGCACAACCACACAUAUACCUUAACCCUUUACCUACACAUGCAAUACAAAUACGAGCCAACUCCUCCCAUACCCCCAAUUGUUU
Molecule: long non-coding RNA, 226 nt
Filed under: Brassica rapa (field mustard)
Lineage: Eukaryota; Viridiplantae; Streptophyta; Magnoliopsida; Brassicales; Brassicaceae
Description: long non-coding RNA (BRAP_LNC007687)
Source: RNAcentral